This 497-nucleotide ribosomal RNA is filed under the name uncultured bacterium. RNAcentral describes it as "partial 16S ribosomal RNA". It matches the Rfam family "Bacterial small subunit ribosomal RNA", at positions 28 to 507 of the family's 1533-position model. The record is from RNAcentral.
GAUGAACGCUGGCGGCGUGCCUAAUACAUGCAAGUCGAGCGAACAGACGAGGAGCUUGCUCCUCUGACGUUAGCGGCGGACGGGUGAGUAACACGUGGAUAACCUACCUAUAAGACUGGGAUAACUUCGGGAAACCGGAGCUAAUACCGGAUAAUAUAUUGAACCGCAUGGUUCAAUAGUGAAAGACGGUUUUGCUGUCACUUAUAGAUGGAUCCGCGCCGCAUUAGCUAGUUGGUAAGGUAACGGCUUACCAAGGCAACGAUGCGUAGCCGACCUGAGCGGGUGAUCGGCCACACUGGAACUGAGACACGGUCCAGAGUCCUACGGGAGGCAGCAGUAGGGAAUCUUCCGCAAUGGGCGAAAGCCUGACGGAGCAACGCCGCGUGAGUGAUGAAGGUCUUCGGAUCGUAAAACUCUGUUAUUAGGGAAGAACAAAUGUGUAAGUAACUAUGCACGUCUUGACGGUACCUAAUCAGAAAGCCACGGCUAACUACGUG